CCUACGGGGGGCUGCAGUAGGGAAUAUUGCUCAAUGGGGGAAACCCUGAAGCAGCAACGCCGCGUGGAGGAUGAAGGUUUUCGGAUUGUAAACUCCUUUUGUUAGAGAAGAUAAUGACGGUAUCUAACGAAUCAGCACCGGCUAACUCCGUGCCAGCAGCCGCGGUAUUACGGAGGGUGCAAGCGUUACUCGGAAUCACUGGGCGUAAAGAGCGCGUAGGCGGGAUAGCAAGUCAGAUGUGAAAUCCUAGGGCUUAACCAUAGAACUGCAUUUGAUACUGUUAUUCUAGAGUAUGGGAGAGGUAGGUAGAAUUCUAGGUGUAGGGGUGAAAUCCGUAGAGAUCAAGAGGAAUACUCGUUGCGAAGGCGACCUGCUAGACCAUAACUGACGCUGAUGCGCGAAAGCGUGGGGAGCAAACAGGAUUAGAUACCCGAGUAGUC
This 440-nucleotide ribosomal RNA is filed under the name uncultured bacterium. Its description in RNAcentral is "partial 16S ribosomal RNA". It matches the Rfam family "Bacterial small subunit ribosomal RNA", at positions 338 to 795 of the family's 1533-position model. The record is from RNAcentral.